AGAGUUAGUGAGGUGGUUGCAAGGUAGGCUUUCCUGUGAGCUUAUCUUGAGGAAAGUCCGGACUCCCGAAAGAUCAAACUUGCUGGGUAACGCCCAGUGCGUGUGAGCGUGAGGAUAGUGCCACAGAAACAUACCGCCUUUAUGAGAAUAAAGGUAAGGGUGCAAAGGUGCGGUAAGAGCGCACCAGCAGUAUCGAGAGGUACUGGCUCGGUAAACCCCGGUUGGGAGCAAGGUCGGAGGAAUAAAGGUUGAUCUUUUCCCUAUUCCGCUUCUGGUGUACCGCUGGAGGUGUUUGGUAACAAACAUCCUAGAUAGAUAACUGCCCCUUAUAUUUUUUUGAUAUAGGGAACAGAAUCCGGCUUACGUCUAACUCUCUUU
Molecule: non-coding RNA, 378 nt
Organism: Cyanobacterium stanieri PCC 7202
Lineage: Bacteria; Bacillati; Cyanobacteriota; Cyanophyceae; Chroococcales; Geminocystaceae
Rfam family: Bacterial RNase P class A
About the family: Ribonuclease P (RNase P) is a ubiquitous endoribonuclease, found in archaea, bacteria and eukarya as well as chloroplasts and mitochondria.
Source: Rfam